RNAcentral lists this transfer RNA (82 nucleotides) under Caenorhabditis brenneri. Its description in RNAcentral is "tRNA-Tyr (GTA) (tRNA-Tyr-GTA-4-1)". It matches the Rfam family "tRNA". Rfam says of the family: Transfer RNA (tRNA) molecules are approximately 80 nucleotides in length. Their secondary structure includes four short double-helical elements and three loops (D, anti-codon, and T loops). Further hydrogen bonds mediate the characteristic L-shaped molecular structure. tRNAs have two regions of fundamental functional importance: the anti-codon, which is responsible for specific mRNA codon recognition, and the 3' end, to which the tRNAs corresponding amino acid is attached (by aminoacyl-tRNA synthetases). tRNAs cope with the degeneracy of the genetic code in two manners: having more than one tRNA (with a specific anti-codon) for a particular amino acid; and 'wobble' base-pairing, i.e. permitting non-standard base-pairing at the 3rd anti-codon position. Lineage: Eukaryota; Metazoa; Nematoda; Chromadorea; Rhabditida; Rhabditidae. The record is from RNAcentral.
GCCCCGGUGGCCGAGUGGUCAAGGCGUGAGACCGUAAGUCUCAUUGGUUCUACCAGCGCGGGUUCGAGUCCCGCCCGGGGCG